Molecule: microRNA, 22 nt
Filed under: Limulus polyphemus (Atlantic horseshoe crab)
Lineage: Eukaryota; Metazoa; Arthropoda; Merostomata; Xiphosura; Limulidae
Description: Lpo-Novel-5_5p (mature (guide))
Source: RNAcentral
UUUUAAUGGACUGUAAGUGCCU